GGCUAUCAUGCAAGUUCGAGCGCGCCCUUCGGGGUGAGCGGCGGACGGGUGAGUCCCCCUUUGGGAAUAUGCCCUUCUCUAAGGAAUAGCCUCUGGAAACGGAGAGUAAUACCUUAUACGCCCUUUGGGGGAAAGAUUUAUCGGAGAAGGAUUAGCCCGCGUUAGAUUAGGUAGUUGGUGGGGUAAUGGCCUACCAAGCCUACGAUCUAUAGCUGGUUUGAGAGGAUGAUCAGCCACACUGGGACUGAGACACGGCCCAGACUCCUACGGGAGGCAGCAGUAGGGAAUCUUAGACAAUGGGGGCAACCCUGAUCUAGCCAUGCCGCGUGUGUGAUGAAGGCCCUAGGGUCGUAAAGCACUUUCGCCAGAGAUGAUAAUGACAGUAUCUGGUAAAGAAACCCCGGCUAACUCCGUGCCAGCAGCCGCGGUAAUACGGAGGGGGUUAGCGUUGUUCGGAAUUACUGGGCGUAAAGCGCACGUAGGCGGAUUAGUAAGUUAGAGGUGAAAUCCCAGGGCUCAACCCUGGAACUGCCUUUAAUACUGCUAGUCUUGAGUUCGAGAGAGGUAAGUGGAAUUCCGAGUGUAGAGGUGAAAUUCGUAGAUAUUCGG
Molecule: ribosomal RNA, 609 nt
Filed under: uncultured bacterium
Lineage: Bacteria
Description: bacterial SSU rRNA
Rfam family: Bacterial small subunit ribosomal RNA
Source: RNAcentral